Molecule: non-coding RNA, 1681 nt
Organism: Delphinapterus leucas (beluga whale)
Lineage: Eukaryota; Metazoa; Chordata; Mammalia; Artiodactyla; Monodontidae
Source: RefSeq, a predicted model, not a curated record
AGGAAUGAAUGGGACAGAGGAGGAAGGCGCCUACGACUCCCGUGAUGCCCUGCGAUGGCUUAGGCUGAUGCCUGACGGGAGCUGUAGUUCUCUCUGAAACCUCCCCUUCUGGAAGGCGGAUGGGAGCGUCACCGUGAGUCGCUAAGCCCCAUCCUUCAGUGGGCGCUAGCUAGGAAAAUCAUGACUUAGGCAUUAAUUGUGUUAGGAAGGAAGGGAGAAGAAAAGGAGAGGGAGGCAGGACAAGGGGAGAGGCUCCCACCAUGCUGUGCCAAGGCGAGAGCGAGCUCUUGGGGUUGCCAUGGAUGGAAAAAGAGCUGCUGUUCCUGUUUAAUGUGGAGCGGCGUUGGUGCCGCGACCGGGGCGUGGGCAGAGAGCCGGGGGAGCUGGACCCCUUUCCUGGCGACACACUUUGUGCAUAACAUUGAUUGUAUAGGUUAGGGAACCUCCCUUCCAUGGCACUUAAGGCCGCAUCCUCGGCUCCAGCCCAGGACAGAUAUUCUGGCUCUCAACAAACGGGCCGCCCCACUGCAGUCAAGGGUCACAGCGAACUCCGCCCGGAAAAAGCGCGCAGCACGCGUGGGAGGGGGCGGAUUCAAGAAGAGACGGGGUCUAACGUAUCUUUGCGUCUUUUACCACAAACUUGAGGGCCGAGUUGACUCGGAUGAAACUUAAUGUCCGCCUGUGUUUGCUUGGUGCUUAGUAAAACAGCAUCCAGCUUCCUCUAGAGGUGCCUGCAGGUACCCGUGUGAUUGACACCACGGCUUUGGACGUGCGGCUUUCUCGAAAGCAUCCUUGGGCUCCCGGGACCUUUGCUCCUCGCAGCCACUCAAGAUGGUGCAGGUGAUGAGCACCAGGGGGCGCCCGACGGAGGAGGAAGCCAAACCCAGAUGGCGGUUGAAAGUCUAGCCCAACGAUAGGAGCGGGAAGUGCUGAAACGUGCGCAACCGCGCCGAGCGCGCGCGCUCCGCUCAGUCUCGGACCCCCGAGCCCGCUGGGCACCCGCUCCGGAGCGCACGGCCCGUGCGGCCGCACAGGGAGGACAGCGGUUGGAAGCAACCGGACUUAUCAAGUAAAGAAUUGACCUCUCUGUAAUCCAUAUAAGACAUCAACGGGUAGGAGAAAGAACCCAGGACACCAUGGAUGCACUAAGCUCAGAGAUUUGACUUCCUAGUGGAUUCCUGUGACACACGGUUAUUACCUAAAGACAGAAAACAUUCCCAAAAAGACUGACUAAGAUGUUUUCAAGUGGACAGGUCCUCUCAAGAAGCAUCUUCUGGUCAUCAAAUUACAUGAACGGAACAUCAUGUAAAAAUAAGGCACCAGCGACAGUCAAUGUUGUGUCGAAUAAAGUCUGACCUGCUUAAUCCUGACAAGAGUCCACUGCACAGUUAAAAAUUGACAGUAGUCGUGGAACUUGCAGUGGCAAUUUGAGUGACUGAAUCUAAACGAGGCCAGCAGUCCUAGUCCUCACAUUUAAUUUAGGAUUAAACAGUUUUCUAGCUGGGUUUGCAUGUCUGUGUUUGAAAGGUGAUGCAAUGACAUACUCAACCUGGUUAUUUUACUGUAGUUUUAAUUCUUAAAAUGUGUUAGUUGGUCUUUAAUGGUUAUUGUUCACGACAGAUCCACUCUAAUAGCAUCCUGUAUUUUCCUAGUAUCUUUCAAACUAAAAGCUUUUCACAUA